RNAcentral lists this ribosomal RNA (1372 nucleotides) under uncultured bacterium. RNAcentral's name for it is "bacterial SSU rRNA". It matches the Rfam family "Bacterial small subunit ribosomal RNA", at positions 28 to 1381 of the family's 1533-position model. The record is from RNAcentral.
GAUGAACGCUGGCGGCGUGCCUAAUACAUGCAAGUCGAGCGAACGGACGAGAAGCUUGCUUCUCUGAUGUUAGCGGCGGACGGGUGAGUAACACGUGGAUAACCUACCUAUAAGACUGGGAUAACUUCGGGAAACCGGAGCUAAUACCGGAUAAUAUUUUGAACCGCAUGGUUCAAAAGUGAAAGACGGUCUUGCUGUCACUUAUAGAUGGAUCCGCGCUGCAUUAGCUAGUUGGUAAGGUAACGGCUUACCAAGGCAACGAUGCAUAGCCGACCUGAGAGGGUGAUCGGCCACACUGGAACUGAGACACGGUCCAGACUCCUACGGGAGGCAGCAGUAGGGAAUCUUCCGCAAUGGGCGAAAGCCUGACGGAGCAACGCCGCGUGAGUGAUGAAGGUCUUCGGAUCGUAAAACUCUGUUAUUAGGGAAGAACAUAUGUGUAAGUAACUGUGCACAUCUUGACGGUACCUAAUCAGAAAGCCACGGCUAACUACGUGCCAGCAGCCGCGGUAAUACGUAGGUGGCAAGCGUUAUCCGGAAUUAUUGGGCGUAAAGCGCGCGUAGGCGGUUUUUUAAGUCUGAUGUGAAAGCCCACGGCUCAACCGUGGAGGGUCAUUGGAAACUGGAAAACUUGAGUGCAGAAGAGGAAAGUGGAAUUCCAUGUGUAGCGGUGAAAUGCGCAGAGAUAUGGAGGAACACCAGUGGCGAAGGCGACUUUCUGGUCUGUAACUGACGCUGAUGUGCGAAAGCGUGGGGAUCAAACAGGAUUAGAUACCCUGGUAGUCCACGCCGUAAACGAUGAGUGCUAAGUGUUAGGGGGUUUCCGCCCCUUAGUGCUGCAGCUAACGCAUUAAGCACUCCGCCUGGGGAGUACGACCGCAAGGUUGAAACUCAAAGGAAUUGACGGGGACCCGCACAAGCGGUGGAGCAUGUGGCUUAAUUCGAAGCAACGCGAAGAACCUUACCAAAUCUUGACAUCCUUUGACAACUCUAGAGAUAGAGCCUUCCCCUUCGGGGGACAAAGUGACAGGUGGUGCAUGGUUGUCGUCAGCUCGUGUCGUGAGAUGUUGGGUUAAGUCCCGCAACGAGCGCAACCCUUAAGCUUAGUUGCCAUCAUUAAGUUGGGCACUCUAAGUUGACUGCCGGUGACAAACCGGAGGAAGGUGGGGAUGACGUCAAAUCAUCAUGCCCCUUAUGAUUUGGGCUACACACGUGCUACAAUGGACAAUACAAAGGGCAGCGAAACCGCGAGGUCAAGCAAAUCCCAUAAAGUUGUUCUCAGUUCGGAUUGUAGUCUGCAACUCGACUACAUGAAGCUGGAAUCGCUAGUAAUCGUAGAUCAGCAUGCUACGGUGAAUACGUUCCCGGGUCU